Molecule: ribosomal RNA, 447 nt
Filed under: uncultured bacterium
Lineage: Bacteria
Description: partial 16S ribosomal RNA
Rfam family: Bacterial small subunit ribosomal RNA
Source: RNAcentral
AGCGAACGCUGGCGGCAGGCCUAAUACAUGCAAGUCGAACGGCCCUUCGGGGCAGUGGCGGACGGGUGAGUAACACGUGGGAACGUGCCCUUUGGUACGGAACAACUGAGGGAAACUUAUGCUAAUACCGUAUGUGCCCUUCGGGGGAAAGGUUUAUCGCCAUUGGAGCGGCCCGCGUUGGAUUAGCUAGUUGGUGGGGUAAAGGCCCACCAAGGCUACGAUCCAUAGCUGGUCUGAGAGGAUGAUCAGCCACACGGGGACUGAGACACGGCCCAGACUCCUACGGGAGGCAGCAGUAGGGAAGCUUGCGCAAUGGGCGAAAGCCUGACGCAGCCAUGCCGCGUGAAUGAUGAAGGUCUUAGGAUUGUAAAAUUCUUUCACCGGGGAAGAUAAUGACGGUACCCGGAGAAGAAGCCCCGGCUAACUUCGUGCCAGCCGCCGCCGUAA